RNAcentral lists this ribosomal RNA (110 nucleotides) under Trypanosoma cruzi. Its description in RNAcentral is "partial 24S ribosomal RNA alpha-subunit". The record is from RNAcentral. Lineage: Eukaryota; Euglenozoa; Kinetoplastea; Trypanosomatida; Trypanosomatidae.
AAGGUGCGUCGACAGUGUGGGGGAGUCUCUUCUUCUUUUCCCCCCUCUCUCCUUUUGGUGUGGAGGGGUGUGGGAGGAAGAAGCCCCUUACUGUUGGGCCAUUCUGAAAA